Molecule: ribosomal RNA, 230 nt
Filed under: uncultured Lactobacillus sp.
Lineage: Bacteria; Bacillati; Bacillota; Bacilli; Lactobacillales; Lactobacillaceae
Description: partial 16S ribosomal RNA
Rfam family: Bacterial small subunit ribosomal RNA
Source: RNAcentral
UAGUCUGGGAUACCACUUGGAAACAAGGUGCUAAUACCGGAUAAGAAAGCGGAUCGCAUGAUCAGCUUUUAAAAGGCGGCGUAAGCUGUCGCUAUGGGAUGGCCCCGCGGUGCAUUAGCUAGUUGGUAAGGUAAAGGCUUACCAAGGCGAUGAUGCAUAGCCGAGUUGAGAGACUGAUCGGCCACAUUGGGACUGAGACACGGCCCAAACUCCUACGGGAGGCAGCAGAC